GUCAUUCAUAAUUUUGUUUUCGGACGAGUCAAGACACGGUCGUCGGCGGUUUUCUUGCGUUUGUUUUUGUGUUGUUGUUGUAUUCUUUAUUCUUUUCUUUGUGAGGUGAAAAAAAAAUACCAAUAAGAAAAAAGAAAAAUUUGCAUAUUAUAUUUGUGGAAAUGUUAUUGAAAGUCAAAUAAAGAGUGUGGAAAUUGUGUUGCCAAAAGUAAAUAAAUAUUUGAUUUUCUAAAGUUUGCUAACUACAAAAGAAACGGGAACAAGAAUUAAAGAAAAAUAGAGAAAAAACACGGUGAAAACCCAUAACAAAAGUCACUGGUUUUCUAGUGGUUCAUCAAGGUAAAUUUAACAAACGACGACGACAAGAGGGAGCACAGCAACAACAACAAUAUCCAUUAGCAGCGGUAUCCAACACAAACACAGUGUACUGCCAGAAACACCAACAACAACAGACACAGCAGCAGUAACAAUGUGGAGCGCAACGCAUAUAAAAGUGACAAUACAAAGUGCCCGCGGUUUACUAUGCAAGGGCAAAAACAACACAAACAACUGUUUUGUCACCAUUGCGUUGGGCAAAGAAAAAUACCAGACCUCGGUAAAGGAGAAGGCUGAAAGCAAUGUCCAGUGGAAUGAAGAAUGUGAAUUAAAAAUUCCCGAUCAAGGCAACAGAGCUGAAUUGGUAUUAACAUGUCUGCACCGCAACAACUUGGCCAUUGAUGAAUUCUUGGGACAAGUGACGUUGCCACUCAACGAAAUGGAUCCGUAUGAUCGUGCCAGAUCGCGAUGGUACAAAUUGGAAAGUAAACCGGGCAAAGAGAAAAAGAACAAGGAACGUGGCGAGUUGAUGGCCAUGAUUUCGUUCACUGUCAAAUCGGGCUCCCUAACCGAUUUGAGCAAAAAAGAAAAACACAAGUCUUCCAUAGGACAGCUGGCAUCUUCGGUGGGUGGUAGUUUGCUCUCAAUUGGCCAAAUAGAAAAACGUAAGGGUAUCAAGAAAAUUGCCAAAAAGUUCGGUUCUAAAUUGCAUUUGCCCACCGGCAAAAAGAAGAACAAGGAUGGCAUCGAUGAGGAUGGCAUGUCCUAUACCGGUUCAUUUGCCAGCAUUGGAACGCCAAAUCGGGUACGUGUCGUCGACAGCGAAGACGAAGAUGAAUUUCAAUUCGAUAAACUGUCACAAAAGAGUUCGGUUAGCUCUUUGAAUUUGCGCGAUGGCGGUUUGCAGACACCUGCAUCGAAUUAUGCAACAAAGAAUCCCUCUCCCCUGAUGGGCUCGACCGGCAAAGGUAAGGACCACCAUCUCAGAUAUGAUGGAUCAGACAACCUCAGUGUGGAUCCGGAAUUGGAAGAAAUUGAAAAUGAAUUUAGCAUUAGAGCUCGAACUCUGCCGCCUCCCUCGAAACCUCCACGUACACCUCAAAUGGAUACAAGCGUUAAUGGUGGUGGAGCUGGUGAUAUCAGAAUUAAUGGCAAACACAACAACACCGAGUUGGACGAAUGGGAAUCGAAAUUGUAUGGACGCAGUGCGGACAGUGGUAAUUCGGAUUCAUUGAAACGCAGAUCAUGGGAACCCGUUUCGGUGCCCUUGACCUCCAGCAAUGUUCCAGAGGAAUCAGUGGUGGUGGCAUCUGCCAACGAAUCACUGGGUAAAUCAUUUUUGCCUCCUUUGAGAGAGGCUCAUACACCGGAAACAUUGAGUGACACUUCCAGUUCAAGUAGCGAAUCCGAAGCCGAAGAGGAACCACCAAAAUUACCCGAAAAAUCUAAAGAACCAGAAGUUCCUAAACCAUCCAAACAAGAGCCGGAAGAGGAAGUGAAACCCCAAAAACCAACAGAUCUCAAAUUUUCAACUGCCACCAAUGAGCCCAAGAGUGAAGUAAUUUUGCGCAAAGAUUCCUUGCUAUCACCCGAGGAGGAGAAAAAUGAAUUUGCUAAAUUCAAUGCUUCCUUUGCCAAAUUCGAACAACGGCACAGUGCCAAGGUUUUCGAUAUCGAAGAGGAAACUAGUAACUUUUUAGCAAAUGAAUCCAUGUCGUCAGCCAAGUCACGUUCGUCACCACCACAACCUAAACCCAGGCCCAGAAGUUCUGCCUCCUUGGAAAAAGAAAAGGAACAACUUAGGGCCAAAGAAGAAGAGGAGGCAAAGGAAAAAUUACGCUUGCAAAGGGCUGCAGAAGAUGCCAAAUUGGAGGCCGAACUUAAGGCCAAUGAAAAGCGUUUGCGUGAAGAGGAACAGGCUUUACAAAAAGAACUAGAGGAGCGUGAAGAAGAAAAACGACGUGAGGCCAAGCGACGUGAAGAAGAUUUGAGGAUUUUGAACUUUUCAAAACGCCUACUAACCCCUGAGGAAUCUAAAGAGAAGCCAGUAUUCGAUAGCAAACCUAAAGAACAAAAAGAAGAGACAAAGAAGAAGGAAAAACAUGAGAUUAAAGAACGUCUUGCACUCAGCAACAACAACAACAACAACAUGAACCACAAUAAUCGAGGUGAGCUGCGAGAAAACAAACAACCUGUAAGUACUGCUUCUACACCUAGUCCCAAGGCAAAUGAACGCAUUAUAAUUGGUCAUGAAAAGUCUUCUACGCAGGCCGAAAGACGUGCCGAGAUAUCAGCAGCAUUGGCCAAAAAAUAUGAAGGCAAAUCAAGAGAGGAACUUAUGCUAAUUGCCAAUGGCAUGGAAAAUGAAGCCCUGCUGCAGCGUCAACGUGUCAAAGAACUGGAGGAUUAUUUGGACAAUUUACUUUUGCGAGUUAUGGAAACACAGCCGAAAUUAUUACAAAAUCCCUAUUCUCGCACCACUUCAGCGAAGAGUUUUAAAAAUUACAUCAAUAUGAACGAUUUUUUGUAAGAAUGCUAAAUGCUUAGAUGCACGUUUUACAAAAAAAUACAUACUCCUACAACAACAACUACUACUACUCCACCUACAAAAAUGCAUGCUACAGAGAAUUUUGAGAACUCUCGCGAUUGAGGCACAAUGGUUGAACACAAAGGAAACGCCACAAGCAAUGUGUUUCUUUACAAAUAAAUAUCCGCUCCAUUUUUCAAAACAACAUAACCAUCCAAAUGACAGCUGGAAAGAGAAAUCAAAACAUCACACAGUGGAAGGAAGUGGGGAAAUCUCUAAAUUUGUUAUUAACCUCCACAUCAUCAUCAUCCUCAUCACAAGUUGCCUUGGAAAGUGCAAAAAAACAAGAAAUGAAAAUCAAGUGCUUUUAUUGUAAAUUUUGUUGAGAUCUUUGAUAUUUUUUUUUUAGAAUUAAUGCCUAAAUAUUUUGUAUACAAAGAAAACACAUACACAUCUCAAGCGUGGAAGGGAGGAGUAUGUAUGAUAUGAUAUUUACUUAUGCAAAUCUACUUAUACAAAAUAAUAGAAAUAAUUAUACACCAUACCGUUUUUUAUUAACAUUUUAUUAAAUAUAUUACCUAAGUAUAGUAACAAAUGAAGUCGUCCUUUUAUCCAAAAAACUCCCAUUAUUAACAAUUAUUUGUUGUAUUACUAUUUUAUGUAUUCAAAAGUAUUUUAAAUUGUUUUAUCAGAUUAGAUAACCAGAAAUGCAAAACCAUGUCGUAUCCCGUGUAGAUGUAAAGAGUCUUGCAUUUCAUAAGCGUUUUUAUUUUAUAAAAUAACAAAAUGAAAA
Musca domestica (house fly) is the source of this 3635-nucleotide RNA transcript. It is a transcript of the gene named rab11 family-interacting protein 5, with no coding region annotated. NCBI's taxonomy places the organism in Eukaryota, Metazoa, Arthropoda, Insecta, Diptera, Muscidae. The transcript has 7 exons. The record is from RefSeq and is a predicted model, not a curated record.